Molecule: RNA transcript, 1898 nt
Organism: Phragmites australis (common reed)
Lineage: Eukaryota; Viridiplantae; Streptophyta; Magnoliopsida; Poales; Poaceae
Exons: 10
Source: RefSeq, a predicted model, not a curated record
UUUUGUUCACUUCUUCGCUUCCUCACCCGCGUUCUCCUGUGGCUGCGCGAGAGCGAGAGAGUGUGGCGGGGAGGGAGGGAGGGAGGCGAGAGACGCGAGGCUUCCCGAGCGAUCCGGAUAAGCAGCCGGCACGAGUCCGUCGGCGCCUUGACUCGGAGAAUCUUGCGAGGAACAGGCAGAGAUCUGUCCGCAUAUUGCUGUAGCUUCAGUAUAAUCGGCGGAGGAAGAGAUAUAUCAUAAACGAGGUGGAAGGAACCGGGAGGAAGCUUGGAGAAGGGAGAAGAGCACGGCAAGCAGGCCAAAGGGUGUGGUUCGUGGCUUCUUUUUGCUUGGUUAAGUUUCUCUUCCUAUCCGGCCGGGACGCCCCGCACCCGCCGUGCUUGAGUUGAUCCUGUCGCGACGAAUCAGUCGCUGGGUCGACCAAUUCAGCAUUGCAAUAAUCAGCCAUGGCCGUAGGCACGACUGAUCCGGAGUACUGGCUCAGCUGGAGGUUCUUGCUGUGCUCGGUCUGGGUCUACUCCUGCAUGGCCAUGGCGUGCUUCUUGAUUUGGAAGUAUGAGCGGCCCAGUUCACCGAGCGGCAACGACGAUGGAGACAGAGAGGAGGCGCGGCCCCGGGUCGGGCCUGGAGUUGUGUUUCUUGAAGAUUGCUGGAAGCCGUGCGUUGAGGAGAUCCACCCUGGUUGGCUCCUGGCUUUUCGCCUUGUGGCAUUCUUCGUUCUGGCUUCACUGCUUGUGGUCGAUAUCGCCACUGAUGGAUGGAGUAUCUUCCUAUACUACACGCAGUGGACUUUCUCGCUUGUCACCUUGUAUUUUGGGCUUGGCUCGUUGCUUUCAAUUUACGGUUGCUAUCAGCAUGCUUACAAGACCGGUGGGGAUAGAUACGAUCUGAUAAGAUCUGGUGCAGAUCAUGGAACUUAUGUCAUAGCUCCAACAGGGGAAAGUGCAUAUGACCGAACAAUCAAAAGUCCUGGUUACAGUAAAACACAUGGUGACCAAGAAAUUGCUGGAUUUUGGGGUUACCUUUUCCAGAUCAUGUUUCAGACAAAUGCAGGUGCUGUGAUGAUUACGGAUAUGGUGUUCUGGUUUAUUUUGUACCCUUUUCUUGCCCAUAAUGAGUAUGAUAUGAAUUUUAUUCUGAUUGGGACACAUUCAAUCAACGUUGUCUUCAUAAUUGGUGAUGCUGCUCUAAAUAGCUUGCAUUUCCCCUGGUUUAGGAUAGCAUAUUUCCUGCUGUGGACAGGCAUUUUUGUUAAUGUUCAGUGGAUCAUCCAUGCUAACGUGUCGAUUUGGUGGCCUUACCCAUUUCUAGAUUUGACAUUCCCUGGAGCACCUGUAUGGUAAAGCUCUUUUUGAUGAAGUACUUUUGUUGUGCUAAAUAUUAUUCUUCUGUGUGCAGCUACUGCAAUAGCCAGUACGAUAUAGAAUCCAGACACUAGAUGAAAGUAGAACCGUAUUUGGUGGUGGCAUUGCUGCACUUCCCUUGUUAUGCUUUAUUCACCCUGGUCCUGAGGCUCAAACAAUUUGUGUUGGAAAGUUGGUUUCCUCUCACUUAUGUCAAGUAAACAAGAUCUCAAGAAGACAAUAGUGGUAAUCCAUUUUCCCUAUACCACAUACUGCAAGAUUGAGUGGAGAACUGCAGAUAUAUAUGACUCUGUACACCUGGGAACAUAUUACUCAGUACAUCUGGGAGUCGCAUCAUUCAGAAGUAGACUACACCUGUCUCUUGCUGGGUUUCCAUCAAGAUGAACAUGUAAAUUGCCAGAGCAUAUUCCAAAUUUUUUUAGAUCAACAGCUUCUUUAAACCAGCUGUUGUCUCUAGCAUCAUUCAUUUUCUCCUUGGAGAAAUGUGUACAGCCCAUUGUAUUAUUAUUCUCCAGCCAUUUCCUGCCUGUUGCA